CCUACGGGUGGCAGCAGUGGGGAAUAUUGGGCAAUGGGCGCAAGCCUGACCCAGCAACGCCGCGUGAAGGAAGAUGGCUUUCGGGUUGUAAACUUCUUUUAAGAGGGAAGAGCAGAAGACGGUACCUCUUGAAUAAGCCACGGCUAACUACGUGCCAGCAGCCGCGGUAAUACGGAGGUGGCAAGCGUUGUCCGGAUUUACUGGGUGUAAGGGGCGUGUAGCCGGGCUGACAGGCAAGAUGGGAAAUUCCGGGCCUCAACCCCGGACCUGCAUUUGAAACUGUUGGUCUUGAGUAUCGGAGAGGCAGGCGGAAUUCCUAGUGUAGCGGUGAAAUGCGUAGAUAUUAGGAGGAACACCAGUUGCGAAGGCGGCCUGCUGGACGACAACUGACGGUGAGGCGCGAAAGCGUGGGGAGCAAACAGGAUUAGAUACCCGUGUAGUC
RNAcentral lists this ribosomal RNA (442 nucleotides) under uncultured bacterium. RNAcentral's name for it is "partial 16S ribosomal RNA". It matches the Rfam family "Bacterial small subunit ribosomal RNA", at positions 338 to 795 of the family's 1533-position model. The record is from RNAcentral.